Molecule: unclassified non-coding RNA, 878 nt
Filed under: Orbicella faveolata
Lineage: Eukaryota; Metazoa; Cnidaria; Anthozoa; Scleractinia; Merulinidae
Description: tNF receptor-associated factor 4-like, transcript variant X1
Source: RNAcentral
GAUACUUUCUUUAGCCAUCAAAUUUCCAAGUGAAGGUUGCGAAUUGACCGGUGACAGAAACAAAGAGAUUCACUUGGCAUCUUGUCUUUUUAAACUCGUCCCUUGUACCAACAAUUCUGCUACGUGAUAGUGCAAAGAAAGCAUCUUGAGGAACACGUGACUGUCACGUGCCCGUGGAGGAUCCUUGGAUGUGGUUAUUGCAGUGAGCCACACCCAGAGUGUAAGAUGAAGGACCACAUUGAAAAGUACAGCAAGUUCCCGGUAACUUGUCCCAACAGUUGUGGGGUUCUUACUCUCAGGGAAAUGAUUGCAAAUCACACGGAAGACGAUUGUCCUUUAACCAUGAUGCCUUGUCCUUAUGAACAGAUGGGCUGCAAAACAAAGAUUCAACGACGUGAAAUGGGAUCCCAUCUGCAAUCUGCCAUGAGACUCCAUCUUGACUUAGCUUGUGUGAAAAUAAAUACCACUGAAGAAACAUUAAACGAAACACGGAAGUUAGGUUACAUAACACAGAAUUAAAGUUAAAUGACAUGCAAGAUACAACAAGGAAACUGAUGGAAAAACUCGACAAACUCGAAAAGAAAAAGAGGGAGGAUAAAGGGAAUACAACUGAAACCAAAAAAAUUAAUGAAGGCGAAACACGAACCUUUCAAUUUCCCACGGGUGUUUGUUUGGAAAUUUAUUAAUUUUAGUGAAAUUUUGAGACAAGCAAAGACCGGCGAACAGAUCCUAAAAAUAGAAACUACUUCCUUCUGCACGGAAAGAUAUGGCUAUAUUUUAAAAAUAGCAAUGUAUCCCAAUGGUUAUGGUGAUUGUAUGAAUACUCACCUCACGGUGUUCAUUGUUGUAAUGAAAGGUGAAUAUGACGCUAUAUUACC